This 296-nucleotide ribosomal RNA is filed under the name Escherichia coli. RNAcentral's name for it is "partial 23S ribosomal RNA". It matches the Rfam family "Bacterial large subunit ribosomal RNA", at positions 2647 to 2925 of the family's 2925-position model. Lineage: Bacteria; Pseudomonadati; Pseudomonadota; Gammaproteobacteria; Enterobacterales; Enterobacteriaceae. The record is from RNAcentral.
GUGGGCGCUGGAGAACUGAGGGGGGCUGCUCCUAGUACGAGAGGACCGGAGUGGACGCAUCACUGGUGUUCGGGUUGUCAUGCCAAUGGCACUGCCCGGUAGCUAAAUGCGGAAGAGAUAAGUGCUGAAAGCAUCUAAGCACGAAACUUGCCCCGAGAUGAGUUCUCCCUGACUCCUUGAGAGUCCUGAAGGAACGUUGAAGACGACGACGUUGAUAGGCCGGGUGUGUAAGCGCAGCGAUGCGUUGAGCUAACCGGUACUAAUGAACCGUGAGGCUUAACCUUACAACGCCGAAG